GACGAACGCUGGCGGCGUGCCUAAUACAUGCAAGUAGAACGCUGAAGGAGGAGCUUGCUUCUCCGGAUGAGUUGCGAACGGGUGAGUAACGCGUAGGUAACCUGCCUGGUAGCGGGGGAUAACUAUUGGAAACGAUAGCUAAUACCGCACAAUAGCAGUUAUUGCAUGAUAACUGUUUGAAAGGUGCAAUUGCACCACUACCAGAUGGACCUGCGUUGUAUUAGCUAGUUGGUGGGGUAACGGCUCACCAAGGCGACGAUACAUAGCCGACCUGAGAGGGUGAUCGGCCACACUGGGACUGAGACACGGCCCAGACUCCUACGGGAGGCAGCAGUAGGGAAUCUUCGGCAAUGGACGGAAGUCUGACCGAGCAACGCCGCGUGAGUGAAGAAGGUUUUCGGAUCGUAAAGCUCUGUUGUAAGAGAAGAACGAGUGUGAGAGUGGAAAGCUCACACUGUGACG
This 462-nucleotide ribosomal RNA is filed under the name Streptococcus mitis. RNAcentral describes it as "bacterial SSU rRNA". It matches the Rfam family "Bacterial small subunit ribosomal RNA", at positions 28 to 474 of the family's 1533-position model. Lineage: Bacteria; Bacillati; Bacillota; Bacilli; Lactobacillales; Streptococcaceae. The record is from RNAcentral.